UACGGAGGGUGCGAGCGUUGUCCGGAAUCACUGGGCGUAAAGGGCGCGUAGGCGGCUGGGGAAGUCGGUGGUGAAAGCUCGUGGCUCAACUACGAGCGGCCAACGAUACUCCUCGGCUCGAGCACUGUAGAGGCAGGUGGAAUUCCGGGUGUAGCGGUGGAAUGCGUAGAGAUCCGGAAGAACAUCGGUGGCGAAGGCGGCCUGCUGGGCAGUAGCUGACGCUGAGGCGCGACAGCGUGGGGAGCAAACAGG
This 252-nucleotide ribosomal RNA is filed under the name uncultured bacterium. RNAcentral describes it as "partial 16S ribosomal RNA". It matches the Rfam family "Bacterial small subunit ribosomal RNA", at positions 524 to 776 of the family's 1533-position model. The record is from RNAcentral.